GUUUUUCGAGAAUCCUUCAAAGGUGAGCAUCUCAUUGUUUUUAUUCUAUUUAGAAGUUUGUUGGCUUUUGCUUUAGAUUGAAUCAAACAAGUGACUUCCAGAAUUUGCAUGCUGUAGAAGCAACUUGUUUGUGAGAAUAAAUUAGUUGUUUUUGAUGAGCAAUGGAUUUGUCUAUUCGGUUUUUGAUGAUAUAUUGUUUGGGGUUUAAAGGUUUUGGGAAAGGAAAAGGGACACAAAGGUUAUGGUAUUAUGCUGUGCUUUAAUGAUUUAAUGUUUUCACUGUAAUUUUAUGAUAAUUUAUGCUUUUACAAUUAGUAUGAAUAAGAUUCUACUUUUCUCUUCAGUAUAUAUUUUGCUUUUCUGAAUUUUAAAAGGUGUCUCUUGUUUAUGUUAAGCUUGACCAAAGAGCAUUACUUCACUAUCUUUCUUUGGCUUAUUUAGAGGAGGAUUUCUUGUAUCCCCAAUAUUAUUUAUUAUCCUCUUUUCUUUCUCAUAACUCUUCUUUGCUACAAAAUAUAAAAAACAUAAAUAAAAAGAAAAGAAAAGGGUAUUUUACAAAUUAGUCCCUAAGGUAUGUCAAUGUAUACACUUAGUCUCCAUAUUUUUUUAAACCUAACGAUUUCAUCCUUAAAGUUUUAUUCUAUUAAUAAGUUGGUCACUCCAUACUAAAUCAGCUCAAUUUCCGUUAGUCAAAG
RNAcentral lists this unclassified non-coding RNA (695 nucleotides) under Hevea brasiliensis (rubber tree). The record is from RNAcentral. Lineage: Eukaryota; Viridiplantae; Streptophyta; Magnoliopsida; Malpighiales; Euphorbiaceae.